This 511-nucleotide ribosomal RNA is filed under the name uncultured Glomus. RNAcentral's name for it is "SSU rRNA". It matches the Rfam family "Eukaryotic small subunit ribosomal RNA", at positions 569 to 1082 of the family's 1831-position model. Lineage: Eukaryota; Fungi; Glomeromycota; Glomeromycetes; Glomerales; Glomeraceae. The record is from RNAcentral.
AGCAGCCGCGGUAAUUCCAGCUCCAAUAGCGUAUAUUAAAGUUGUUGCAGUUAAAAAGCUCGUAGUUGAAUUUCGGGGUUAGUAGGUUGGUCAUGCCUCUGGUAUGUACUGGUCUCACUGAUUCCUCCUUCCUGAUGAACCUUAAUGCCAUUAAUUUGGUGUUUUGGGGAAUUUGGACUGUUACUUUGAAAAAAUUAGAGUGUUUAAAGCAGGCUCACGCUUGAAUACAUUAGCAUGGAAUAAUGAAAUAGGACGUUCGAUCCUAUUUUGUUGGUUUUUAGGAUCAACGUAAUGAUUAAUAGGGGUAGUUGGGGGCAUUAGUAUUCAAUUGUCAGAGGUGAAAUUCUUGGAUUUAUUGAAGACUAACUACUGCGAAAGCAUUUGCCAAGGAUGUUUUCAUUAAUCAAGAACGAAAGUUAGGGGAUCGAAGACGAUCAGAUACCGUCGUAGUCUUAACCAUAAACUAUGCCGACUAGGGAUCGGAUGAUGUUAAUUUUUAAUGACUCAUUCG